UGUAGAUGUAUAUGUGUAUGUGCAUGUGUUCAGACGUGUAUACUCCAAGUUCUGAAAUGGCUGCCCUAGCAGCAACACACC
This 81-nucleotide microRNA precursor is filed under the name Ictidomys tridecemlineatus (thirteen-lined ground squirrel). Its description in RNAcentral is "miRNA (ENSSTOG00000033024.1)". The record is from RNAcentral. Lineage: Eukaryota; Metazoa; Chordata; Mammalia; Rodentia; Sciuridae.